UGAGUCCGACAGAGUCAUACAUGUUUAUGAUUAAGAGAUAUUCUUUUUGUGUACUAUUUGAUUUUGCCGAGAAAAAAUGAAGAAGAAUUCAAGAAUGAGAUGAGGGUGUCUUCUUCCUGUAGAAGUCCAAAUGAAACACCUUAUUUCCAAUCACAGCCACAACCUGGGGGAGAAGUAUCAAAUCCUCCACAGGCAUUGUGAUUUCUGUGGAUAUGAAUAA
Molecule: small RNA, 220 nt
Filed under: Pongo abelii (Sumatran orangutan)
Lineage: Eukaryota; Metazoa; Chordata; Mammalia; Primates; Hominidae
Description: processed transcript
Source: RNAcentral